This 497-nucleotide ribosomal RNA is filed under the name uncultured bacterium. RNAcentral's name for it is "partial 16S ribosomal RNA". It matches the Rfam family "Bacterial small subunit ribosomal RNA", at positions 28 to 507 of the family's 1533-position model. The record is from RNAcentral.
GAUGAACGCUGGCGGCGUGCCUAAUACAUGCAAGUCGAGCGAACAGAUAAGGAGCUUGCUCCUUUGACGUUAGCGGCGGACGGGUGAGUAACACGUGGGUGACCUACCUAUAAGACUGGGAUAACUUCGGUAAACCGGAGCUAAUACCGGAUAACAUUUGGAACCGCAUGGUUCUAAAGUGAAAGAUGGUUUUGCUAUCACUUAUAGAUGGACCCGCGCCGUAUUAGCUAGUUGGUAAGGUAACGGCUUACCAAGGCGACGAUACGUAGCCGACCUGAGAGGGUGAUCGGCCACACUGGAACUGAGACACGGUCCAGACUCCUACGGGAGGCAGCAGUAGGGAAUCUUCCGCAAUGGGCGAAAGCCUGACGGAGCAACGCCGCGUGAGUGAUGAAGGGUUUCGGCUCGUAAAACUCUGUUAUUAGGGAAGAACAAAUGUGUAAGUAACUGUGCACGUCUUGACGGUACCUAAUCAGAAAGCCACGGCUAACUACGUG